This 889-nucleotide ribosomal RNA is filed under the name Pholiota squarrosa. Its description in RNAcentral is "partial large subunit ribosomal RNA". It matches the Rfam family "Eukaryotic large subunit ribosomal RNA", at positions 53 to 927 of the family's 3401-position model. Lineage: Eukaryota; Fungi; Basidiomycota; Agaricomycetes; Agaricales; Strophariaceae. The record is from RNAcentral.
GAGGAAAAGAAACUAACAAGGAUUCCCCUAGUAACUGCGAGUGAAGCGGGAAAAGCUCAAAUUUAAAAUCCGGCGGUCUUUGGCCGUCCGAGUUGUUAUCUAGAGAAGUGUUAUCCGCGCUGGACCGUGUACAAGUCUCCUGGAAUGGAGCGUCAUAGAGGGUGAGAAUCCCGUCUUUGACACGGACUGCCAGGGCUUUGUGAUGCGCUCUCAAAGAGUCGAGUUGUUUGGGAAUGCAGCUCAAAAUGGGUGGUAAAUUCCAUCUAAAGCUAAAUAUUGGCGAGAGACCGAUAGCGAACAAGUACCGUGAGGGAAAGAUGAAAAGAACUUUGGAAAGAGAGUUAAACAGUACGUGAAAUUGCUGAAAGGGAAACGCUUGAAGUCAGUCGCGUUGUCUGGGGAUCAACCUUGCUUUUGCUGGGCGUACUUUCCAGAUGACGGGUCAGCAUCAAUUUUGACCGUUGGAUAAAGUCUGGAGGAAUGUGGCAUCUUCGGAUGUGUUAUAGCCUCUAGUUGCAUACAACGGUUGGGAUUGAGGAACUCAGCACGCCGCAAGGCCGGGUACUUGUACCACGUUCGUGCUUAGGAUGCUGGCAUAAUGGCUUUAAUCGACCCGUCUUGAAACACGGACCAAGGAGUCUAACAUGCCUGCGAGUAUUUGGGUGGAAAACCCGAGUGCGUAAUGAAAGUGAAAGUUGAGAUCCUUGUCAUGGGGAGCAUCGACGCCCGGACCAGACCUUUUGUGACGGAUCUGCGGUAGAGCAUGUAUGUUGGGACCCGAAAGAUGGUGAACUAUGCCUGAAUAGGGUGAAGCCAGAGGAAACUCUGGUGGAGGCUCGUAGCGAUUCUGACGUGCAAAUCGAUCGUCAAAUUUGGGUAUAGGGGCGAA